UCCGUAGGUGAACCUGCGGAAGGAUCAUUACAAAUCAGGUUUACCCAGCCAAACAGCUGGGUAAACACAUUGGCACAGGGCAGCACUGCACUGCAAGGUGCUGGUGCAGCCUUGAUGUUUACGCUUGUUUGUUUGACAGAGUAAGUGAUGCGAAGCUAAAUAUAGACAACUUUUAACAAUGGAUCUCUUGGCUCUUGCAACGAUGAAGAACGCAGUAAAGUGCGAUAUGUAGUGCGAUUUGCAUGAAUCUGUGAGUCAUCUAAUCUUUGAACGCAACUUGCGCCUCUCUGAGGCAUGUCUGUUUGAGUGCCGCAUACCUCGUGCAGCAAUGCGAUUUGACCAAUGUCUGUCAGAGUGAGUCCCUGGACUGGACUAGGCUGACCUGGUCUAAACGUAGCCAGAUGGUGGCCAGCGCUGCUAGUCGUCCGAGUGCUAAGCAUUCUUGGAUCUAGCAACACUGAACCACCCCAUCAAUCAAUUAACCAUUUUUUGGCCUCAAAUCAGGCAAGACUACCGCUGAACUUAAGGCAUAUCAAUAAGGCGGGAGGGGAAGGUCGGACUGGCCAAGGGCACACAGGGGGGGAUA
Molecule: ribosomal RNA, 586 nt
Filed under: uncultured fungus
Lineage: Eukaryota; Fungi
Description: eukaryotic LSU rRNA
Rfam family: 5.8S ribosomal RNA (bases 168-312)
Source: RNAcentral